CCUACGGGGGGCUGCAGUGGGGAAUAUUGGACAAUGGGGGCAACCCUGAUCCAGCCAUGCCGCGUGUGUGAAGAAGGCCCUCGGGUUGUAAAGCACUUUCAGUGAGGAAGAACGCCUGGUGGUUAAUACCCAUCAGGAAAGACAUCACUCACAGAAGAAGCACCGGCUAACUCCGUGCCAGCAGCCGCGGUAAUACGGAGGGUGCGAGCGUUAAUCGGAAUUACUGGGCGUAAAGCGCGCGUAGGGGGCUUGAUAAGCCGGUUGUGAAAGCCCCGGGCUCAACCUGGGAACGGCAUCCGGAACUGUCAAGCUAGAGUGCAGGAGAGGAAGGUAGAAUUCCCGGUGUAGCGGUGAAAUGCGUAGAGAUCGGGAGGAAUACCAGUGGCGAAGGCGGCCUUCUGGACUGACACUGACACUGAGGUGCGAAAGCGUGGGUAGCAAACAGGAUUAGAUACCCUAGUAGUC
This 465-nucleotide ribosomal RNA is filed under the name Vreelandella stevensii. Its description in RNAcentral is "partial 16S ribosomal RNA". It matches the Rfam family "Bacterial small subunit ribosomal RNA", at positions 338 to 795 of the family's 1533-position model. The record is from RNAcentral. Lineage: Bacteria; Pseudomonadati; Pseudomonadota; Gammaproteobacteria; Oceanospirillales; Halomonadaceae.